UCAAGCGAACAAGAGCGCAGGGUGGAUGCCAAGGCACUGAUUGCCGACGAAGGACGCGGUAAGCUGCGAAAAGCCAUGGGGAGCCGCAAGCAAGCAUUGAUCCAUGGAUAUCCGAAUGGGGGAACCCGGCCGGGGCAAUGCCCGGUCACCGUUCAAUGAAUCCAUAGUUGAACGGGGGGCACCCGGGGAAGUGAAACAUCUAAGUACCCGGAGGAGAAGAAAGAAAACUCGAUUCCCUUAGUAGUGGCGAGCGAAGAGGGAAGAGGCCAAACCAGGGGUCUACGGACGCCUGGGGUUGCGGGCCAUCGACAAGUAACAAUAGCCGAGCCGAAGAUCGUUGGAAAGCGAUGUCAGAGAGCGUGACAGCCGCGUAGGCGAAGGCGACGAUAGCGAGAUGGUACCAGAGUACCGCGGGACACGAGAAAUCCUGUGGGAAGCAGGGGGGACCACCCCCCAAGCCUAAAGACGAUCAGUGACCGAUAGCGCAUAGUACCGUGAGGGAAAGGUGAAAAGAACCCCGGGAGGGGAGUGAAAGAGAACCUGAAACCCUGUGUUUACAAGCAGAGGAAGCGCAAGAAAGGCGCGACUUUGUACUUUUUGUAGAACGGACCGGCGAGUUGCGUUAUGUUGCGAGGUUAAGGUCUUGAGGACUGGAGCCGAAGCGAGAGCGAGUCUGAAGAGGGCGAAAGUAACAUGACGCAGACCCGAAACCGGGCGACCUAUCCAUGGGCAGGUUGAAGUGAAGGUAAAGCUUCAUGGAGGACCGAACCAGACGUCCGUUGAAAAGGGCGGGGAUGACCUGUGGAUAGCGGAGAAAUUCCAAUCGAGCUCGGAUAUAGCUGGUUCUCCUCGAAAUAGCUUUAGGGCUAGCCUCGUGUUAGUCUGAUGGGGGUAGAGCACUGAAUGGGCUAGGGGGUCACAAAGCUUACCGAACCCUAUCAAACUGCGAAUACCAUUAAGACGAUGCACGGGAGUCAGACUGCGAGUUAUAAGAUCCGUAGUCAAAAGGGAAACAGCCCAGAUCGACAGCUAAGGUCCCCAAGUGUGUGUUAAGUGGAAAAGGAUGUGUGAUUGCACAGACAACCAGGAUGUUGGCUUAGAAGCAGCCACUCAUUUAAAGAGUGCGUAAUAGCUCACUGGUCGAGUGACUCUGCGCCGAAAAUUCAACGGGGCUAAAACCUGCACCGAAGCUUAGGCAUCCGCAAGGAUGGGUAGGGGAGCGUUGUGUAUGCGGUGAAGCGUUAGCGUAAGCGGGCGUGAAGCGUACACAAGUGAGAAUGCCGGAAUGAGUAGCGAGAAUGAUGUAAGAAUCAUCAUGGCCGAAAGCCUCAGGUUUUUGGAGGAAGGUUCGUCCGCUCCAAGUUAGCCGGGAGCUAAGGUGAGGCCGAAAGGCGUAGCCGAUGCACAUACGGUAGAGAUUCCGUAGCCGCCAAAAGAUUUAAGCAGGGGGACACUUUUGAAGUGUUGGAGCCGGGUGUUGGUUUACCCGGUGGUAACCGAGUGAAAUUUAGUAGCGAAGUCCAGCAUGGAGAGAGGCGAGAAAAGCCCUGUGUAUAUCUGAGGCGCCCGUACCGCAAACCGACACAGGUAGGUAGGAAGAAGAUUCUAAGGCCAACGGGAGAAGGGUUGUUAAGGAACUCGGCAAGUUGACCCCGUAACUUCGGAAUAAGGGGAGCCUCGAAAGAGGCCGCAGUGAAAAGGCCCAAGCAACUGUUUACCAAAAACACAGGUCUAUGCUAAAUCGAAAGAUGACGUAUAUGGGCUGACGCCUGCCCGGUGCUGGAAGGUUAAGAGGAGAGCUUAGCGCAAGCGAAGGUUUGAAUUGAAGCCCCAGUAAACGGCGGCCGUAACUAUAACGGUCCUAAGGUAGCGAAAUUCCUUGUCGGGUAAGUUCCGACCCGCACGAAUGGCGUAACGACUUGGGCGCUGUCUCAACAAGGGACUCGGUGAAAUUGAAGUAUGGGUGAAGAUGCCCAUUACCCGCGACUGGACGGAAAGACCCCGUAGAGCUUUACUGUAGCUUAUCAUUGGAAUUUGGUAACGGAUGUACAGGAUAGGUGGGACGCAGAGAAGGUAGGACGUCAGUUCUGCUGGAGCGGCCGUUGGGAUACCACUCUUCUGUUACUGAAUUUCUAACAACGUGCAAUGAACUUGGCGAUGGACAGUGAUAGGUGGGCAGUUUGACUGGGGCGGUCGCCUCCCAAAGAGUAACGGAGGCGCCCAAAGGUUCCCUCAGAAUGGAUGGAAAUCAUUCGCAGAGUGCAAAGGCAGAAGGGAGCCUGACUGCGAGACGUACAGGUCGAGCAGAGAGGAAACUCGGGCUUAGUGAUCAGGCGGUAUCGAGUGGAAGAGCCGUCGCUCAACGGAUAAAAGCUACCUCGGGGAUAACAGGCUGAUCUCCCCCAAGAGUCCACAUCGACGGGGAGGUUUGGCACCUCGAUGUCGGCUCGUCGCAUCCUGGGGCUGAAGCAGGUCCCAAGGGUUUGGCUGUUCGCCAAUUAAAGCGGCACGCGAGCUGGGUUCAGAACGUCGUGAGACAGUUCGGUCCCUAUCCAUCGUGGGCGCAGGAGUCAUGACGGGAGCUGUCCCUAGUACGAGAGGACCGGGAUGGACGCACCUCUGGUGCAACAGUUGUCUUGCCAAAGGCACAGCUGGGAAGCGAAGUGCGGACGGGAUAAACGCUGAAGGCAUCUAAGCGUGAAGCCCCCCUGAAGAAGAAGACUGCCACUGCUUCAAGCAGGUAAGACCCCUCAGAGACGAUGAGGUAGAUAGGUCGUCGGUGGAAGCGCUGUGAGGCGUGGAGCUUGGCGAUACUAAUCGGUCGAGGGCUUGAUCUG
RNAcentral lists this ribosomal RNA (2837 nucleotides) under human gut metagenome. Its description in RNAcentral is "bacterial LSU rRNA". It matches the Rfam family "Bacterial large subunit ribosomal RNA". The record is from RNAcentral.